GCGCCACAAAGUCCAGCUAAUUUUUUGCAUUUUUCGUAGAGAUGAGGUUUCACCAUGUUGGCCAGGCUGGUCUCGAACUCCCAACCUCAAGUGAUCCGCCCGCCUCGGCCUCUCAAAAGUGCUGGGAUUACAGGCUUAAGCCACCACACCCAGCCUAUUUUCAUCUCCUUAUUUUCAAUACUGGGGUGGCCAAACUGUGCCCUUCAAGCCAAAUCCAGCCCAAGACCUGUUUUAAUAUAUAAAAUUUUACUGGAACACAGCUAUGUCAUUCUUGUACAUACUGUUCAUAGCUGUUUUCUUACUAUAAGGGCAAAAACAAAAGGUUGAGAAACACAGUAUGGCCCUUAAAGUCUAAAUUUUACUAUCUGUCCCUUUAAAGAAAGUUUGUUGACUCCUGUUCUAUGUUAUCUACAAUGAAUAGCCAUAACUUUAGCAAUAAAAAUUAUUUUGGAUGUGGUGGUGCAUGUAUGCCUAUAGUCCAGGCUACUUAACAGGCUGAGGCUGGAGGAUCACUUGAGUCAGGAGUUCGAGACCAGCCUGGCCAACAUGGUGAAACCCCAUCUCUACUAAAAAUACAAAAAAAUUAGCU
Molecule: long non-coding RNA, 589 nt
Filed under: Homo sapiens (human)
Lineage: Eukaryota; Metazoa; Chordata; Mammalia; Primates; Hominidae
Description: novel transcript, antisense to VPS13C
Source: RNAcentral